Molecule: long non-coding RNA, 733 nt
Filed under: Homo sapiens (human)
Lineage: Eukaryota; Metazoa; Chordata; Mammalia; Primates; Hominidae
Description: HSALNT0314278
Source: RNAcentral
UUAGGAAGAGUGGAUCAAUGUUAUGUUUCUGACUGCUGAUGAGGCAACAAAUGUACCAUUAAAAUUUCUCUCUACUUUGGGCCUUCAUCUUCCAUCUAUCGAGGCAUAAGAUUGUGCAUGUAUAAAGCUGGUUGCAAAAUCCUUCACAAAUAAAAGUAUACCCCAUGAGUGCAUACAAUAGACCACCUUUUCACUUUUGUUGUUCAUAGAUGCAAAGCAAAGGGAAAAAUUGACAGAUAAGAGCCUCAUGAUAGCAGAGAAGUCUUGAUUCAUGAUCUUGGGGAAAAGCUGUCCAAGUCAAGGAUGCUGUCUUCUUCUGGGGAGAAACUUCCCUGGACGUAUAACAUUGGAAAGAAGCAAUUUACUCAUCUAGACUUGGAGAGUCUGGCUCAACAUCAAAUUAAAAUCAUGCUGGUGUUCACGUGAGGGUGCUUUUGUGCAAAGCUGGAGAAGCACGGGAUGUGAAGGGCCUUGCUGGAGGCAGAGCUCUGCAGAUGAACCAGAAGACCGCACCCGAACCCCCGUUCAGCUGCGAGGCAUAAACGCCUUCCCCUGGUUAGGAGCUGAUGCCUCACUGUGAGCUUGGAUGGCAAGUUCAUAGAGGCCAUCCACACGAAUGGGUUUAAUGGGAUUUCUUUAUCAAUUGUUUAAAGAGAGUCUUUAGCGUCCCUCAAUACCCUUUCCAGGAGGAUACACAGAAUAAAUUCCUGCUUGACUUUUAGAUCCCAGAUAA